This 585-nucleotide ribosomal RNA is filed under the name uncultured bacterium. Its description in RNAcentral is "bacterial SSU rRNA". It matches the Rfam family "Bacterial small subunit ribosomal RNA", at positions 338 to 916 of the family's 1533-position model. The record is from RNAcentral.
CCUACGGGAGGCAGCAGUGGGGAAUUUUGGACAAUGGGCGAAAGCCUGAUCCAGCAAUGCCGCGUGCAGGAAGAAGGCCUUCGGGUUGUAAACUGCUUUUGUACGGAACGAAACGGUCUGCUUUAAUACAGUGGGCUAAUGACGGUACCGUAAGAAUAAGCACCGGCUAACUACGUGCCAGCAGCCGCGGUAAUACGUAGGGUGCGAGCGUUAAUCGGAAUUACUGGGCGUAAAGCGUGCGCAGGCGGUUAUAUAAGACAGUUGUGAAAUCCCCGGGCUCAACCUGGGAAUUGCAUCUGUGACUGUAUAGCUAGAGUACGGUAGAGGGGGAUGGAAUUCCGCGUGUAGCAGUGAAAUGCGUAGAUAUGCGGAGGAACACCGAUGGCGAAGGCAAUCCCCUGGACCUGUACUGACGCUCAUGCACGAAAGCGUGGGGAGCAAACAGGAUUAGAUACCCUGGUAGUCCACGCCCUAAACGAUGUCAACUGGUUGUUGGGUGCAUUAGUACCCAGUAACGAAGCUAACGCGUGAAGUUGACCGCCUGGGGAGUACGGCCGCAAGGUUGAAACUUAAAGGAAUUGACGG